UACGUAGGGUGCGAGCGUUAAUCGGAAUUACUGGGCGUAAAGCGUGCGCAGGCGGUUUUGUAAGCCAGAUGUGAAAUCCCCGGGCUUAACCUGGGAAUGGCAUUUGGGACUGCAAGGCUGGAGUUUGGCAGAGGAGACUGGAAUUCCUGGUGUAGCAGUGAAAUGCGUAGAUAUCAGGAGGAACACCGAUGGCGAAGGCAGGUCUCUGGGCUGAAACUGACGUUCAUGCACGAAAGCGUGGGGAGCAAACAGG
This 253-nucleotide ribosomal RNA is filed under the name uncultured bacterium. RNAcentral's name for it is "partial 16S ribosomal RNA". It matches the Rfam family "Bacterial small subunit ribosomal RNA", at positions 524 to 776 of the family's 1533-position model. The record is from RNAcentral.